This 42-nucleotide ribosomal RNA is filed under the name uncultured Piloderma. RNAcentral describes it as "partial 18S ribosomal RNA". It matches the Rfam family "Eukaryotic small subunit ribosomal RNA". Lineage: Eukaryota; Fungi; Basidiomycota; Agaricomycetes; Atheliales; Atheliaceae. The record is from RNAcentral.
CGUAACAAGGUUUCCGUAGGUGGACCUGCGGAAGGAUCAUUA